CCUACGGGAGACAGCAGUGAGGAAUAUUGGUCAAUGGACGAGAGUCUGAACCAGCCAAGUAGCGUGAAGGAUGACUGCCCUAUGGGUUGUAAACUUCUUUUAUAUGGGAAUAAAAUGUUCCACGUGUGGGAUUUUGUAUGUACCAUAUGAAUAAGGAUCGGCUAACUCCGUGCCAGCAGCCGCGGUAAUACGGAGGAUCCGAGCGUUAUCCGGAUUUAUUGGGUGUAAAGGGAGCGUAGGUGGAUUGUUAAGUCAGUUGUGAAAGUUUGCGGCUCAACCGUAAAAUUGCAGUUGAAACUGGCAGUCUUGAGUACAGUAGAGGUGAGCGGAAUUCGUGGUGUAGCGGUGAAAUGCUUAGAUAUCACGAAGAACUCCGAUUGCGAAGGCAGUUCACUGGACUGCAACUGACACUGAGGCUCGAAAGUGUGGGUAUCAAACAGGAUUAGAUACCCUAGUAGUC
This 460-nucleotide ribosomal RNA is filed under the name uncultured bacterium. RNAcentral describes it as "partial 16S ribosomal RNA". It matches the Rfam family "Bacterial small subunit ribosomal RNA", at positions 338 to 795 of the family's 1533-position model. The record is from RNAcentral.